Molecule: long non-coding RNA, 1886 nt
Organism: Eriocheir sinensis (Chinese mitten crab)
Lineage: Eukaryota; Metazoa; Arthropoda; Malacostraca; Decapoda; Varunidae
Exons: 3
Source: RefSeq, a predicted model, not a curated record
ACAACACCAGAGACUCAGACCAGGACCAAGAUGGCGGCGCUCUCGUCUUUGACAGUCUCCGUUCCUUCAUAUUUUUCCUUAAUUACGUGACUUUCGGAGCUCCUGGAAGACUGCCAUGAUACCAGAAGAAGCAUGGCACUCCCCGGCACCUGUGGGAAGGGAAAUGAGGGGCCUUUAAGAAACAUGAUCCCCACAGCUACUGGGUUAACAAACUUCUACUGCAGCUACAACCUCUCCACACUCGGCCAAACCUCAAGCUGACCCCAAAACCUCUCUCCUCAGCUCAUGGCACACACAAGGAUUUUCUCAUCAUCUGUCAAGCUGCUGCUGUCACCAACGAUCUUGUCCAAGGUCACAACAGCGACCGUGCAGUAACCGGGACUUUGCCAAGACUACCAGGAGAGACAUUUGAAGGGAGGGGGAGUAUGAGUGUCCUAAGAGCAAGGCAGCUGGACAGAGACUCCUUCCUGACAUCCCCCCACAGGACGGACUCUCAUACAUCAGACCUGUGGGGGGAAGUGUCAGGAGGGAAUAAUGUCACGCAUAUCUUGCUCUUAGGAUGAACACACUCCUCCUCCUUCUCUGCUGGUAUCUUGGCAGAGCUUGACUGGUGGACUGCAUCAGUGGUCUGACCUUCCCAAAGAUCAAGGGCAUUGAGGGAUAGAGCAUCAUCACUCCCUAAGUAUAUAUGGCAGAAAUGUUUAAUGAGCAGGAGGUAUAUAUGUAUAAGGAGGUGCAACAAAAGAGUAUAUAGAGGUUUAGAUUUAUUUUGUAACAUAGCUUUACAGGUUCACUAUUUUUUUCACGCAUACAGCAGAAUUUAAAAAAAAAAAAAAAAAAUCCAAAAUAAUUUCUAAGUUGGGGAGAGUCUCUGCUCUUACACUUGCCCUAUUAGAUAACUCGCCAUCAUAAGCUUGUCACCAGGACGGGUCGCUGUGUGUGUCCUGUUUCAGCGUGCCCCUCCCUGCUGCACUCUCCCAGCCUCCACUUUGGCAGCAGGAGACCAGCAGCACAAAGGAAGGGCUCAAACACACUGAUGCUUUCUUGUGGUAGUUUGUUAUAGGUGAAGCUGGAUGUUGUAGUCUUCCUCGUCUGCCCCUCAUGAGAAGCUGGGGGUCCGCCUCUCCAUCUGGGUCUUGUGAAGCUGGUAGUCAUCUGCCCCUCGUCUUCCUCCAUCCCAUCGUGCCUGCAAAGGACAUAGUGUGAAUUCAAGGCUCUUUGUGGGGUGUCUGUUGUGCAUGCUUGAGGUAUUCUGUAUUAAUAUUUAUAUCUUAACAAAAUCUUCAUUAUUCUGUGUCCCCAUCAUAUCUCAAGACUACCUCAAUGGUGUCACCCCUUUGAUAAGUUUACUAUUGUUCCCCCUUACAAAAUUUUACAUAUUUUAAUUAUGAAUAGCAGGGUCUAGUUGCUCCUGUUGCAGUGUGCCACUCCCUUGACUCUCCCGGCCUCCACGUUGGCAGCAGGAGCACGCACACACUGAUGUCUUGUGGUAGUGUGCUGCAGGGGGAAGGUGGUCGUCAUCUGCUUCUCAUGCUGGUUGUCAUCUCCCUCCAUCCUGUCGUGCCUGCAAAGGAAGUCUCAUGUGAUUUCAAGGCUCCUAUUGUGUGUGUGUGUGUUUUGUGCAUGCAUGAAAUAUUUUGUCAUAAUAUUUUAACCUGUCCGCUGCGAUUGCCCUGGAUUUUGCCUUCACUGGUUGCUUGGUGAGGUCUUCUUGUGGGAAAUCCACAGUCAAGGGGUUAAGUAAUCCCCUCCUCACAAAAUCUUUAUUCUGCAUCCCCAUUGUAUCCUCAAACCACUUCAGUGAAUUAUGCUUUACAAUAACUGGUUCUUUAUUUCAGUGCAAGAUAAUUUUGGAAGAAGUACCAAAAUAAAAUGAAUACAUAGAA